UGGGGAAUAUUGGACAAUGGGCGAAAGCCUGAUCCAGCCAUGCCGCGUGUGUGAAGAAGGCCUUUUGGUUGUAAAGCACUUUAAGCGAGGAGGAGGCUACUUAGAUUAAUACUCUAGGAUAGUGGACGUUACUCGCAGAAUAAGCACCGGCUAACUCUGUGCCAGCAGCCGCGGUAAUACAGAGGGUGCGAGCGUUAAUCGGAUUUACUGGGCGUAAAGCGUGCGUAGGCGGCUUCUUAAGUCGGAUGUGAAAUCCCUGAGCUUAACUUAGGAAUUGCAUUCGAUACUGGGAAGCUAGAGUAUGGGAGAGGAUGGUAGAAUUCCAGGUGUAGCGGUGAAAUGCGUAGAGAUCUGUAGGAAUACCGAUGACGAAGGCAGCCAUCUGGCCUAAUACUGACGCUGAGGUACGAAAGCAUGGGGAGCAAACAGG
Molecule: ribosomal RNA, 430 nt
Filed under: Bacillota bacterium
Lineage: Bacteria; Bacillati; Bacillota
Description: Firmicutes bacterium partial 16S ribosomal RNA
Rfam family: Bacterial small subunit ribosomal RNA
Source: RNAcentral